This 418-nucleotide ribosomal RNA is filed under the name uncultured bacterium. Its description in RNAcentral is "bacterial SSU rRNA". It matches the Rfam family "Bacterial small subunit ribosomal RNA", at positions 356 to 774 of the family's 1533-position model. The record is from RNAcentral.
AAGGAAUAUUGCUCAAUGGGAGAAAUCCUGAAGCAGCAACGCCGCGUGGAGGAUGAAGGGUCUAUGACUUGUAAACUCCUGUAAAGAAGGAAAAAAUUCCCAUUAGAUGGAGAUGAUGGUACUUCUGGAGUAAGCCCCGGCUAACUACGUGCCAGCAGCCGCGGUAAUACGUAGGGGGCAAGCGUUGUCCGGAUUUACUGGGUGUAAAGGGUGCUCAGGCGGAUUUGUAAGUCAGAGGUGAAAUCUUACAGCUUAACUGUGAAACUGCCUUUGAUACUGCAAGCCUAGAGUAUGGAAGAGAGUGAUGGAAUAUCUGGUGUAGCAGUGAAAUGCGUAGAUAUCAGAUAGAACACCAAUGGCGAAGGAAGUCACUUGAUCCAUUACUGACGCUAAAGCACGAAAGCGUGGGUAGCAAACA